This 427-nucleotide ribosomal RNA is filed under the name uncultured bacterium. RNAcentral describes it as "partial 16S ribosomal RNA". It matches the Rfam family "Bacterial small subunit ribosomal RNA", at positions 355 to 774 of the family's 1533-position model. The record is from RNAcentral.
UGGGGAAUAUUGGUCAAUGGGCGAAAGCCUGAUCCAGCCAUGCCGCGUGUGUGAAGAAGGUCUUCGGAUUGUAAAGCACUUUAAGUUGGGAGGAAGGGCAUUAACCUAAUACGUUAGUGUUUUGACGUUACCGACAGAAUAAGCACCGGCUAACUCUGUGCCAGCAGCCGCGGUAAUACAGAGGGUGCAAGCGUUAAUCGGAAUUACUGGGCGUAAAGCGCGCGUAGGUGGUUUGUUAAGUUGGAUGUGAAAUCCCCGGGCUCAACCUGGGAACUGCAUUCAAAACUGACUGACUAGAGUAUGGUAGAGGGUGGUGGAAUUUCCUGUGUAGCGGUGAAAUGCGUAGAUAUAGGAAGGAACACCAGUGGCGAAGGCGACCACCUGGACUAAUACUGACACUGAGGUGCGAAAGCGUGGGGAGCAAACA